Molecule: small RNA, 174 nt
Filed under: Pan troglodytes (chimpanzee)
Lineage: Eukaryota; Metazoa; Chordata; Mammalia; Primates; Hominidae
Description: processed transcript
Source: RNAcentral
CUUGUGAGGAAGGCAUCUUGCUUCCCCUUCGCCUCCUGACAUGAUUGUGAAUUUCCUGAGGCCUCCCCAGCCGUGAUGAACUCACCCACCUCAACUACCAGCAUCAGAAAACAAGUUCUGACCGGGUGCAGUGGCUCACACCUGUAAGAGUGGCUCACACUUUGGGAGGCCAAG